Molecule: ribosomal RNA, 193 nt
Filed under: uncultured bacterium
Lineage: Bacteria
Description: partial 16S ribosomal RNA
Rfam family: Bacterial small subunit ribosomal RNA
Source: RNAcentral
CUCCUACGGGAGACAGCAGUAAGGAAUAUUGGUCAAUGGGCGGAAGCCUGAACCAGCCAUGCCGCGUGCAGGAAGACGGCCCUACGGGUUGUAAACUGCUUUUGCAGGGGAAUAAACCUCAGUAUGUAUACUGAGCUGAAUGUACUCUGAGAAUAAGGAUCGGCUAACUCCGUGCCAGCCGCCGCGGUAAUAC